CCCUACGCUGGGAUAGAGAGGCUGUUUCCAAAUAGACCCCCGGCAUCCUUCCCUCCAAGAACUUCCCACCUUGCUCUUGGGGAGACUCGAACUCACAACCUCUCGGUUGGAAGUGGGGGUUUCUUACCAUCAGAUUUCCAAAUAGACCCCCGGCAUCCUUCCCUCCAAGAACUUCCCACCUUGCUCUUGGGGAGACUCGAACUCAUAAC
Molecule: long non-coding RNA, 209 nt
Filed under: Nicotiana benthamiana
Lineage: Eukaryota; Viridiplantae; Streptophyta; Magnoliopsida; Solanales; Solanaceae
Description: long non-coding RNA (NBEN_LNC028369)
Source: RNAcentral